CCCUUAGAUGUUCUGGGCCGCACGCGUGCUACACUGAGUAAUUCAAUGGGUAAGGGAACGCUAGAGCAUUACCUAAUCUUGAAAUUUGCUCGUGAUGGGGAUCGACGGUUGCAAUUUUCCGUCGUGAACGAGGAAUACCUUGUAGGCGCAGGUCAUCAUCAUGCGCCGAAUACGUCCCUGCCCUUUGUACACACCGCCCGUCGCUCCUACCGAUUGAGUGAUCCGGUGAGGCUCUGGGACCUGGACGGAAAGAGCGUUUCGCUUGUUCUGUUUGGGAAACUUGGUCGAACCUUAUCAUUUAGAGGAAGGAGAAGUCGUAACA
This 322-nucleotide ribosomal RNA is filed under the name uncultured eukaryote. RNAcentral's name for it is "partial 18S ribosomal RNA". It matches the Rfam family "Eukaryotic small subunit ribosomal RNA", at positions 1470 to 1796 of the family's 1831-position model. The record is from RNAcentral.